RNAcentral lists this unclassified non-coding RNA (353 nucleotides) under soil metagenome. RNAcentral's name for it is "partial contains 5.8S ribosomal RNA, internal transcribed spacer 2, and large subunit ribosomal RNA". The stretch from base 1 to 120 matches the Rfam family "5.8S ribosomal RNA", at positions 35 to 154 of the family's 154-position model. The record is from RNAcentral.
GAUGAAGAACGUAGCGAAAUGCGAUAAGUAAUGUGAAUUGCAGAAUUCAGUGAAUCAUCGAAUCUUUGAACGCACAUUGCGCCCAUUAGUAUUCUAGUGGGCAUGCCUGUUCGAGCGUCAUUAAGUCCACUUAAGCCCUGCUUAGUGUUGGGAGACUGCUCCAGCGGUGCUACCCUGUAGCUACCCUGCAGCUCCUCAAAGACAGCGGCGGAGUUGUGGUAUCCUCUGAGCUUAGUAACUUGUUCUAGCUUUCGAGUACACCACUUCCCCUGCCGUAAAACCCUUAAUUUUUAAUGGUUGACCUCGGAUCAGGUAGGAAUACCCGCUGAACUUAAGCAUAUCAAUAACGGAGG